This 1142-nucleotide ribosomal RNA is filed under the name Hydra sinensis. RNAcentral describes it as "SSU rRNA". It matches the Rfam family "Eukaryotic small subunit ribosomal RNA", at positions 36 to 1197 of the family's 1831-position model. Lineage: Eukaryota; Metazoa; Cnidaria; Hydrozoa; Anthoathecata; Hydridae. The record is from RNAcentral.
GCGUCAGAUAGCCAUGCAUGUCUAAGUAUAAGCACUUGUACUGUGAAACUGCGAAUGGCUCAUUAAAUCAGUUAUCGUUUAUUUGAUUGUACUUUACUACAUGGAUACCUGUGGUAAUUCUAGAGCUAAUACAUGCGAAAAAUCCCGACUUCACGGAAGGGAUGUAUUUAUUAGACUAAAAACCAAUGCGGGUCUCGGCCCGUUUUCUUGGUGAUUCAUGAUAACUUUUCGAAUCGCAUGGCCUUGCGCCGGCGAUGUUUCAUUCAAAUUUCUGCCCUAUCAACUGUCGAUGGUAAGGUAGUGGCUUACCAUGGUUGUAACGGGUGACGGAGAAUUAGGGUUCGAUUCCGGAGAGGGAGCCUGAGAAACGGCUACCACAUCUAAGGAAGGCAGCAGGCACGAAAAUUACCCAAUCCCGAUUCGGGGAGGUAGUGACAAGAAAUAACGGUACGGGGUCUUUAUAGGUCUCGCAAUCGGAAUGAGAACAAUUUAAAUCCUUUAACGAGGAUCAAUUGGAGGGCAAGUCUGGUGCCAGCAGCCGCGGUAAUUCCAGCUCCAAUAGCGUAUAUUAAAGUUGUUGCAGUUAAAAAGCUCGUAGUUGGAUUUCGGAGCGGGCCCGUCGGUCCACCGCAAGGUGAGCUACUGGCGGGUCUGUUCUUCUUCGCAAAGACUGCAGGUGCACUUCACUGUGUGUCUGUCGGAUUUGCGACGUUUACUUUGAAAAAAUUAGAGUGUUCAAAGCAGGCUUUCGCUUGAAUACAUGAGCAUGGAAUAAUGGAAUAGGACUUUGGUUCUAUUUUGUUGGUUUCUAGGACCGAAGUAAUGAUUAAGAGGGACAAUUGGGGGCAUCCGUAUUUCGUUGUCAGAGGUGAAAUUCUUGGAUUUACGAAAGACGAACAACUGCGAAAGCACUUGCCAAGAGUGUUUUCAUUAAUCAAGAACGAAAGUUAGAGGAUCGAAGACGAUCAGAUACCGUCCUAGUUCUAACCAUAAACGAUGUCGACUAGGGAUCAGCGGGCGUUAUUGUACGACCCCGUUGGCACCUUACGGGAAACCAAAGUUUUUGGAUUCCGGGGGAAGUAUGGUUGCAAAGCUGAAACUUAAAGGAAUGACGAAGCAGCACCUGACGUGAUGCCAACGUG